AUGGAAUGAUGACACCAGGACACCACUGAUUUUUGUGAUUACAACAUCCCAAAAAAGCGUUAUUCUCAAAUUACUGAAUU
This 80-nucleotide small nucleolar RNA is filed under the name Bombyx mori (domestic silkworm). RNAcentral describes it as "Bm_129". Lineage: Eukaryota; Metazoa; Arthropoda; Insecta; Lepidoptera; Bombycidae. The record is from RNAcentral.